GUCUGCGCCUCUUUUCUGUUGAACGAUCCACGCGCUCUCACAGAGAACCCUGGAAUUUCGCUUCUGUGCUUCUUUCCCAAAAAUCGAAUCUUUUCCGUAUCAUUCUCGUCCCAACUAUCACCCACGAUGUCGAAAGACAUCUCAUUCGUCUUUGGGCGUGUAGCGCUAUGUUUACUCGCGUGAAACACGGAUUAACGACGACAAAAAAAACACAUAUCUAAUGCAUACAAAAUACCGUUUCGUUUCCUAGUACGUGAAAAGGAACGGCGUUAGAUCUUGAAAUAUCUAACAACCGUUCUACAUAAGACAUCGUUUGCCUAUAACGAAAGUUCUAGUGUAGCGAAUCGUACGAAGAAUGUACAAAAACAUGAGUCGAAUAUUAAUUUUUCUUUUUUUCAUCGUAUACACGCUUAUGUUUAGGUUGCGACGGUCGUGUGCAUAAGCCGGCAGUGCUCUCUCUCGAUUCGAUUUCGAUACAGUUUAGGUAUAUAACUUCCGUAUCUCUGAGAUUCAAGCUUCAUACUGUGAUAAUUAUGCGAAUAUUCGUGACGUACAACUCAUUAUUGUAUCAGCGCGGACAACCGUACGCCGCGUAUGGCUAUUUCACAAUUUUCAUUGUACCAUCUGCGGUAACAUACAAGCAUAGUUGGUAACAGGAUACUGUAAACUGUUUUAUGUUCCUAGCCAAACAGCCACGCACACCAGCGAUUUGUACAUUGAAAAAAGAAUUUUAUUGACGCUGCUACGCAAUAUCAUGACACAUUUUACAUCCCCUGGGAAACAUCGCGUCGUGUCGCGUUUCUUGCAUUCGUGAAAUUAUUAUUAAAGGGAAUAAGUAAUUAUUAUAAAUAGUUAUUAAUCUGUUAAAUGCGGAAUUUAAUUUCAAAAAUCCUUUACAGAGCGCGCAGAUAAAAUCAAGCAAUGACGAAUAUACACGUCGAAUGCGGAACAAAUAUUCUUAUUAUAAAUUUUACGAAAAAAAUGGCACAUCUUCGAAGUGGAUUUGCUUUUGAUGGUGUAGCUGAUAUAAAGUUAUAUAAGCUGAUAUAGAACACAAAACAAUUCGAGGAAUAGCUGAUAUACACAACAAAGUACACAAAACAAUUCGGGGAAUAGUCGAUAUAUGCACUUAUGGGAAUAAUCAUGUAAUCAAAUUUUUUUUUUAUUAACAUGAUAUUUACUGAAAGUAUAAAGGAAACAUACCACUAGAUGUCAUUUAUAUUAUUUUUUAUUAAAACUGAGUUUUUAUAGUAAA
Molecule: long non-coding RNA, 1255 nt
Organism: Bombus terrestris (buff-tailed bumblebee)
Lineage: Eukaryota; Metazoa; Arthropoda; Insecta; Hymenoptera; Apidae
Exons: 2
Source: RefSeq, a predicted model, not a curated record